Molecule: long non-coding RNA, 394 nt
Organism: Patella vulgata (common limpet)
Lineage: Eukaryota; Metazoa; Mollusca; Gastropoda; Patellidae
Exons: 3
Source: RefSeq, a predicted model, not a curated record
CCAAGGUGCCCAGUGUUGUGGCCAGUAAAGGUGCUCAACGUAGAUAAAGAUUUGUGUACUGUGCUGGUUAAAAGUGACAAUGCUGAGUAAAUUAAUGAAAAAGAACUUGAAAAAAACAGUUGAUUGCUUCAUUGAGGAUAUUUCCUGGACAACAGAUGAAAUGAAAACACCAUUUCUCGAUGUGACACCAACCCAGACUAUUUGCACAUCCUCGACAGAUAUUACACUACCCCGAAACAUUGACACACCAACCAAGGAUGUGGCACCAACCCAGAACAUGUGUGCACCAACCAAGGAUGUGGCACUAACCCAGAACAUUGACACACCUACCAAGGAUGUGACACCAACUCAGAACAUUGGCACACCAACCAAGGAUGUGGCACCACUUGAUAAC